UACGGGGGGAGCAAGCGUUGUUCGGAUUUACUGGGCGUAAAGGGCGCGUAGGCGGCCACUGCAAGUCAAUUGUGAAAUCUCCGGGCUUAACUCGGAAAGGUCAACUGAUACUGCAGGGCUAGAGUGCGGAAGGGGCAACUGGAAUUCUCGGUGUAGCGGUGAAAUGCGUAGAUAUCGAGAGGAACACCUGCGGCGAAGGCGGGUUGCUGGGCCGACACUGACGCUGAGUGCGCGAAAGCUAGGGGAGCGAACGGG
Molecule: ribosomal RNA, 255 nt
Filed under: uncultured bacterium
Lineage: Bacteria
Description: partial 16S ribosomal RNA
Rfam family: Bacterial small subunit ribosomal RNA
Source: RNAcentral